UAAUUAUUUUUGGCACUUCUUUCUUAUUUACAAGUUUUGCUUAGUCCCUUUUGAUUUUGAACAUAAAGAUGAAUGUGUAUUACAAGCUUCAUAUAGAUCUUGUACGUGAAUUUAAAUGUGUCCAAUUCAGCAUAUUUGACUAACAAUUUAAGCUACUUGUUGUAAUUUGUGGGAGUGGAAACCAACUUUGAAGCAUGAUUUGUGGAAUUUCAUAUCAAAUCUAAAAUUAGUGAGGUCUUUAUGUCCAUCAAUACUUUGGUAACAAUUGGCGAAAGGGAGAAACAUAGUUAAUAAUAUUUGUUUGACUAGAAUCAUAUGCAAUUGUUUCACUGAAAGAUGGUAAACAAUCUACAGCAACAAUAUGUGAAAUACAAUUUGGAGUUCCUUUCAUUCAAAUCGAAUCAUGAUUAAUAAAAAAUAAUUUAGAUAAGAAAUAAGUAAAUUGAUUUGCAUUUCUAAGAAUGAUAACUAUAAAUAAUUCCAUAAUUUUACUGGUCAAAGUUGUGUUGAGUAAAUCACUAAUGUGAUAUUUAAUUAGUAUUAUUUUUAUUUUUA
Medicago truncatula (barrel medic) is the source of this 555-nucleotide long non-coding RNA. RefSeq lists it as uncharacterized. The record is from RefSeq and is a predicted model, not a curated record. Lineage: Eukaryota; Viridiplantae; Streptophyta; Magnoliopsida; Fabales; Fabaceae. The transcript is spliced from 2 exons.